UUUUUCUAAUAGCCAAAGUUUGUGAAAUUUUUUAAUUAUGUUUCCUAUACACACUAAAACUUUGAAGCUUUAUCUUUUAAUUUGUUUUGUUUAUCCUAAUACGAGUUUUACUCAAAGCAAGAGUCAUGCUUAUUUAAACUUCUCAAAGAUUAAUAUAUAUAUGUGUGGUACAGACGUAGGUUUAGGGGCAUCACAUUUACUUUUUCUUUUUUUUCUUUUUUUUUGGGUUCGCAUAGAGGAGUAUUUUUUUCAAGAAUAUUUUGGAUACGUCGUUUACGUCAAUUGUUUUUCAAAAACAUGUUUAAGGUGAGGGAUUAUAUGCUUGUGGUUAUAUUCAUGUAUGUUUUUAUAUGCUCUUAUUUCAUGUUUGAUUAUACUUGCUCAGCCAUGUUGAAAUACAUGUUCAGCCAUGUUGAAAUACAUGUUCAGCCAUGUAGAAAUACAUGUUCAGAAAUUCAGCCAUGUUGAAAUACAUGUUCAGGGGCUUUCAGUUCGCCCAUCAGAUUAUCAGUAUAUGUG
Molecule: long non-coding RNA, 519 nt
Filed under: Salvia miltiorrhiza (redroot sage)
Lineage: Eukaryota; Viridiplantae; Streptophyta; Magnoliopsida; Lamiales; Lamiaceae
Description: long non-coding RNA (SMIL_LNC003941)
Source: RNAcentral